UACGAAGGGGACUAGCGUUGUUCGGAAUCACUGGGCGUAAAGCGCACGUAGGCGGAUUCGUAAGUCAGUGGUGAAAGCCCCAAGCUUAACUUGGGAAUUGCCAUUGAUACUGAUGGUCUUGAGUACACUUGAAGUGGGCGGAAUGUGUCAUGUAGCGGUGAAAUGCUUAGAUAUGACACAGAACACCGAUUGCGAAGGCAGCUCACUAAAUUGUAACUGACGCUGAGGCACGAAAGCGUGGGGAUCAAACAGG
Molecule: ribosomal RNA, 253 nt
Filed under: uncultured bacterium
Lineage: Bacteria
Description: partial 16S ribosomal RNA
Rfam family: Bacterial small subunit ribosomal RNA
Source: RNAcentral